This 351-nucleotide ribosomal RNA is filed under the name uncultured Desulfobulbus sp. RNAcentral describes it as "bacterial SSU rRNA". It matches the Rfam family "Bacterial small subunit ribosomal RNA", at positions 1032 to 1382 of the family's 1533-position model. The record is from RNAcentral. Lineage: Bacteria; Pseudomonadati; Thermodesulfobacteriota; Desulfobulbia; Desulfobulbales; Desulfobulbaceae.
AGACAGGUGCUGCAUGGCUGUCGUCAGCUCGUGUCGUGAGAUGUUGGGUUAAGUCCGCAACGAGCGCAACCCUUGCCUUUAGUUGCCAGCAGUUCGGCUGGGCACUCUAAAGGGACUGCCGGUGUUAAACCGGAGGAAGGUGGGGAGUGACGUCAAGUCCUCAUGGCCUUUAUGACCAGGGCUACACACGUACUACAAUGGCCGAUACAAAGGGCAGCGACACUGCGAGGUGAAGCCAAUCCCGUAAAAAUCGGUCUCAGUCCGGAUUGGAGUCUGCAACUCGACUCCAUGAAGUUGGAAUCGCUAGUAAUCGUGGAUCAGCAUGCCACGGUGAAUACGUUCCCGGGCCUU